RNAcentral lists this ribosomal RNA (492 nucleotides) under uncultured bacterium. RNAcentral describes it as "partial 16S ribosomal RNA". It matches the Rfam family "Bacterial small subunit ribosomal RNA", at positions 28 to 507 of the family's 1533-position model. The record is from RNAcentral.
GAUGAACGCUAGCUACAGGCUUAACACAUGCAAGUCGAGGGGAAACGCCAUAGAAAGCUUGCUUUUGAUGGGCGUCGACCGGCGCACGGGUGAGUAACGCGUAUCCAACCUGCUUAUCACUUGGGAAUAACCUUGCGAAAGUAAGACUAAUACACAAUGCUAUCCCACGAAGGCAUCGGAAUGGGAUUACAGAUUUAUCGGUGAUGGCUGGGGAUGCGUCUGAUUAGUUUGUUGGCGGGGUCCCGGCCCACCAAGGCUACGAUCAGUAGGUGAUCUGAGAGUAAGGCCCCCGAGAUGGGAAAUGAGACCCGGACCAAACUGCGACGGGAGGCAGUAGUAAGGUAGAUAGGUGGAUGGACGAUGGCCUGAACCAGCCAAGUAGCGUGCAGGAAGACGGCGCUAUGGAUUGUAAACUGCUUGGAUAAAAAAGUAAAAGGGGUCACGUGUGACUUUUUGCAGGUACCUAAUAAAUAAGGACCGGCUAAUUCCGUG